CAUGUGGAGGAACUCUGUUCCUGGGGAAGACAGCCAUGGCUCCCCCAGUGGAGAAGCUACACCCUUGAGCAGACGGUGCUGUCAGGAAGAAUCUGGCCUCUAAGAUUCCACACAUGUGAUGCCAGGCUUAAUGAGUCUGUCAUUCCAGGUGCCUACAAAGUCCCUCUCAACCACAUUAGCAGAUGAAGUGAGAACUGGAAGCUGUUAUUCUCAACAGAGAAUCCUGGCCCCUCUACUUGUCAGCAAGUACGAAUCCCCUCUCAGGUCUGAACCCUCUCUAGCUGCAACUACAGCUCAGGCUCACAGCAGUGCUCCUGGUCGCCCCAGAAAACCGCUCAUCCAUUCCAUCUUCUAGAAGAAUCGUGGUUCCACUCUCAGAAGCCUACAACAGUGUCAUGCGGUCCUUUUCCUGGGAGAGAAUGUUUCAUUCCUCAGGGACCAAGUCCUUACUCUGUGAUUCCCAAACACCUCCUGUAUUCCAGUAAAAAAGUAGAAAAUAACCAAGACUACGGCAGACUCGGCUGUCUCUAGCAAUGACUACAGAGUAGAACAUCUCGGAGAGAAGGCUGUCAGAUUGAGCAAUCACAAGAAGGCUUGAGUUGACAGUGGCCUACACUACACACACAGGGAGAACAGAGUCCUAAGCAGGUUUGGACGCUCUGGAGGCUGGGGUACACCCCCCAUCAAGUUGCUCAGACAAUACUCAAGGUGUCAUUUUUCAAGGUUGAGAACCAUUGGCCAAGAGGACUAACGCUGGAACUGGAGCAAUGGCUCAGAAGUUAAGAGCAUAUACUUUUCCUGUGGAAGACCUGAAUUUAGUUCCUAGUGAUCACUGUGGGCUGCUCACAACUACCUGUAACUUCAGCUACAGGGAAUCUAACAUCCUUUUCAGCCUUCCUGGGCACCCACACUCAUUUGCAUAUAUCCCCACACAAAACAUAAUAUUUUUCAAAUAUUUUUUUUUCAAAAAGAGGUAAAUCUGCUGAGUGUAGCUCUUUGAUAAAAUCUUUGAUUAGCAACAAAACUGCUUUGUG
Long non-coding RNA from Mastomys coucha (southern multimammate mouse), 1034 nucleotides. RefSeq lists it as uncharacterized. Lineage: Eukaryota; Metazoa; Chordata; Mammalia; Rodentia; Muridae. The transcript is spliced from 5 exons. The record is from RefSeq and is a predicted model, not a curated record.